Molecule: ribosomal RNA, 575 nt
Filed under: uncultured bacterium
Lineage: Bacteria
Description: bacterial SSU rRNA
Rfam family: Bacterial small subunit ribosomal RNA
Source: RNAcentral
CCUACGGGAGGCAGCAGUAAGGAAUAUUGCGCAAUGGGCGAAAGCCUGACGCAGCGACGCCGCGUGGGGGAUGAAGGUCUUCGGAUUGUAAACCCCUUUCGGGAGGGAAGAUGGAAUGAGCAAUCAUUCGGACGGUACCUCCAGAAGCAGCCACGGCUAACUUCGUGCCAGCAGCCGCGGUAAUACGAAGGUGGCAAGCGUUGUUCGGAUUUACUGGGCGUACAGGGAGCGUAGGCGGUUUAGUAAGCCCUUUGUGAAAUCUCCAGGCUUAACCUGGAACAGUCGGAGGGGACUGCUAAGCUAGAGUACGGGAGAGGAGCGCGGAAUUCCCGGUGUAGCGGUGAAAUGCGUAGAGAUCGGGAGGAAGGCCGGUGGCGAAGGCGGCGCUCUGGAACGUUUCUGACGCUGAGGCUCGAAAGCGUGGGGAGCAAACAGGAUUAGAUACCCUGGUAGUCCACGCCUUAAACUAUGAAUACUAAGUGUCGGCGGUUUACCGCCGGUGCCGCAGCUAACGCAUUAAGUAUUCCGCCUGGGAAGUACGGCCGCAAGGUUGAAAACUCAAAAUGAAUUGACGG